RNAcentral lists this ribosomal RNA (1425 nucleotides) under uncultured bacterium. RNAcentral's name for it is "bacterial SSU rRNA". It matches the Rfam family "Bacterial small subunit ribosomal RNA". The record is from RNAcentral.
AGAGUUUGAUCAUGGCUCAGAACGUACGCUGGCGGCACGCCUAACACAUGCAAGUCGAACGAAGUAGCAAUACUUAGUGGCAGACGGGUGAGUAACAUGUGGGUAUCUUCCCUUUGGCCUGGAAUAACACGAGGAAACUUGUGCUAAUACCGGAUAAGUCUUUACAGAGAAAGCUUUAUGCACCAUUGGAUGAGCCCGCACUUGAUUAGUUUGUUGGUGGGGUAAUGGCCUACCAAGACUGUGAUCAAUAGCUGAUUUGAGAGGAUGAUCAGCCACAUUGGGACUGAGACACGGCCCAAACUCCUACGGGAGGCAGCAGUGGGGAAUCUUGCACAAUGGAGGAAACUCUGAUGCAGCGAUGCCGCGUGAGUGAAGAAGGCCUUUGGGUUGUAAAGCUCUUUCGUCGGGGAAGAAAAUGACUGUACCCGAAUAAGAAGGUCCGGCUAACUUCGUGCCAGCAGCCGCGGUAAUACGAAGGGACCUAGCGUAGUUCGGAAUUACUGGGCUUAAAGAGUUCGUAGGUGGUUGAAAAAGUUGGUGGUGAAAUCCCAGAGCUUAACUCUGGAACUGCCAUCAAAACUUUUCAGCUAGAGUUUGAUAGAGGAAAGCAGAAUUUCUAGUGUAGAGGUGAAAUUCGUAGAUAUUAGAAAGAAUACCGAUUGCGAAGGCAGCUUUCUGGAUCAUUACUGACACUGAGGAACGAAAGCAUGGGUAGCGAAGAGGAUUAGAUACCCUCGUAGUCCAUGCCGUAAACGAUGUGUGUUAGACGUUGGAAAUUUAUUUUCAGUGUCGCAGCAAAAGCGAUAAACACACCGCCUGGGGAGUACGACCGCAAGGUUAAAACUCAAAUGAAUUGACGGGGACCCGCACAAGUAGUGGAGCAUGUGGUUUAAUUCGAAGAUACGCGCAGAACCUUACCAACACUUGACAUGUUCGUCGCGACUUUAAGAGAUUAAAGUUUUCGGUUCGGCCGGACGAAACACAGGUGCUGCAUGGCUGUCGUCAGCUCGUGUCGUGAGAUGUUGGGUUAAGUCCCGCAACGAGCGCAACCCUCACUUUUAGUUGCCAUCAUUAAGUUGGGCACUCUGAAAGAACUGCCAGUGAUAAGCUGGAGGAAGGUGGGGAUGACGUCAAGUCCUCAUGGCCCUUACGUGUUGGGCUACACACGUGCUACAAUGGUAUCUACAACAGGAAGCAAGACGGCGACGUUUAGCAAAUCCUUAAAAGAUACCUCAGUUCGGAUUGCACUCUGCAACUCGAGUGCAUGAAGCUGGAAUUACUCGUAAUCGUGGAUCAGCGUGCCACGGUGAAUGCGUUCCCGGGUCUUGUACACACCGCCCGUCACACCAUGGGAGUUGGUUCUACCUUAAGGCAAGGUUUAAUACCCUUGACCACGGUAUAGUCAGCGACUGCGGGUGACACGUC